UACGGGGGGGGCAAGCGUUGUUCGGAAUUACUGGGCGUAAAGGGCUUGUAGGUGGCCAACUAAGUCAGACGUGAAAUCCCUCGGCUUAACCGGGGAACUGCGUCUGAUACUGGAUGGCUGGAGUGUGGGAGAGGGAUGCGGAAUUCCAGGUGUAGCGGUGAAAUGCGUAGAUAUCUGGAGGAACACCGGUGGCGAAGGCGGCAUCCUGGACCAUUACUGACACUGAAAAGCGAAAGUCAGGGGAGCAAACGGG
This 253-nucleotide ribosomal RNA is filed under the name uncultured bacterium. Its description in RNAcentral is "partial 16S ribosomal RNA". It matches the Rfam family "Bacterial small subunit ribosomal RNA", at positions 524 to 776 of the family's 1533-position model. The record is from RNAcentral.